GGGCUUGUAGCUCAGUGGAUUAGAGCACGUGGCUACGAACCACGGUGUCGGGGGUUCGAAUCCCUUCUUGCCCG
This 74-nucleotide transfer RNA is filed under the name Rhodochorton tenue. Its description in RNAcentral is "tRNA-Arg". It matches the Rfam family "tRNA". From Rfam's summary of the family: Transfer RNA (tRNA) molecules are approximately 80 nucleotides in length. Their secondary structure includes four short double-helical elements and three loops (D, anti-codon, and T loops). Lineage: Eukaryota; Rhodophyta; Florideophyceae; Acrochaetiales; Acrochaetiaceae. RNAcentral also lists the same sequence under 3 other names. The record is from RNAcentral.